This 483-nucleotide long non-coding RNA is filed under the name Gossypium raimondii (Peruvian cotton). RNAcentral describes it as "long non-coding RNA (GRAI_LNC001881)". The record is from RNAcentral. Lineage: Eukaryota; Viridiplantae; Streptophyta; Magnoliopsida; Malvales; Malvaceae.
GAAGAACAAAGAGAACAUCAAUGAAAAGAUUUGAUUUUUGUACAAUUGACUUUACAAACUUGUUUAUUAUCUUCAAUAUGGAGCUAUUAACUUGUAUUUAUGCCUUCUAUCAACCUUAGAGUCGUUUGGAGACAUUGGGAGUAAACUAAAGUCAUUCCAGCAAUAAAUUCAAGCAUUAACUGCAUACUGUAGACUAGAGGUGAUCAUGGAUCGGGCCGGGCCCAUAUAAAAUUUUAGGCCCGUUUUCUAGGCUGGGCUCCGAAAUAUGGGCAUAAAAAUUUAUCCAAGCCCGGCCCGAAAGAAAAUUGCUAAGCCCGAGCCCGGCUUGGUCCAUAUUAAAUUUUACAACACCAAAAUAGCAUAUUUUAAAAAGAAAAUAGCAUAUUAAAUUUUAAAAAGUAUAUUUGAUUAAAAAUAAAUAUAUAUUUAAUAUAUAAUUCGGGCCGGGCUGAGCCCAGGCAAAAAAAUUUUACCCGAGGCCCG